UUAAUUCGAAGCAUAGCGAGCUAACGUUUAGCAGGUUUGCAUAAAUUAAAUAUAUUAAAAAAGCAAGACCGCAAAGGUUUCUGUAGCAAUAGAAUCUUGUGACUUAACGUUAGGGGCGAUAAACCAAUCACGCUAUGGCAUAGCUAAGUUUCUGCGAAAUAUAUUUAGGUAUAGCUUAUGCAAAAACUUUAUAG
This 194-nucleotide ribosomal RNA is filed under the name Polytomella magna. RNAcentral's name for it is "large subunit ribosomal RNA". It matches the Rfam family "Bacterial large subunit ribosomal RNA", at positions 710 to 899 of the family's 2925-position model. The record is from RNAcentral. Lineage: Eukaryota; Viridiplantae; Chlorophyta; Chlorophyceae; Chlamydomonadales; Chlamydomonadaceae.